GGGCUCGUGGCGAAAUUGGCAGACGCGCCAGACUUAGGAUCUGGUUCCGCAAGGAGUGGGGGUUCAAGUCCCCCCGAGCCCA
This 82-nucleotide transfer RNA is filed under the name Verrucomicrobium sp. RNAcentral describes it as "tRNA-Leu". It matches the Rfam family "tRNA". From Rfam's summary of the family: Transfer RNA (tRNA) molecules are approximately 80 nucleotides in length. Lineage: Bacteria; Pseudomonadati; Verrucomicrobiota; Verrucomicrobiia; Verrucomicrobiales; Verrucomicrobiaceae. The record is from RNAcentral.